Molecule: ribosomal RNA, 525 nt
Filed under: uncultured bacterium
Lineage: Bacteria
Description: bacterial SSU rRNA
Rfam family: Bacterial small subunit ribosomal RNA
Source: RNAcentral
AGAGUUUGAUCCUGGCUCAGAGCGAACGCUGGCGGCGUGCUUAACACAUGCAAGUCGAACGCGCAGCAUUCUGUAGCAAUACAGGGUGUGGGCGCGUGGCGAACGGGUGCGUAACACGUGGAUAACCUUCCUUCAGGUGGGGAAUAACCCAGUGAAAAUUGGGCUAAUACCGCAUAACAUGACGAUGCCACAUGGUGUUGUCUUCAAAGCCGCAAGGCGCCAGAAGAGGGAUCCGCGGCCGAUUAGCUUGUUGGCGAGGUAAUGGCUCACCAAGGCUUUGAUCGGUAGCCGGACUGAGAGGUUGGCCGGCCACACUGGAACUGAGACACGGUCCAGACUCCUACGGGAGGCAGCAGUGGGGAAUCUUGCACAAUGGACGAAAGUCUGAUGCAGCAACGCCGCGUGGGGGAUGAAGCUUUUCGGAGUGUAAACCCCUUUCGACCCGGAAGAAUGCCCGCAAGGGUUUGACGGUACGGGUAUAAGAAGCCCCGGCUAACUACGUGCCAGCAGCCGCGGUAAUACGUA